GAAAAGAGAAUUACACUGCCUUUUCUUUUUUCAGUGGAGUGUAUGUGCUUUGUUAAGGGGUAAAGGUGAGAAAGGGGAUGAAGAUCUAGAUUAGGGUUUGGCAAGCUUUUUCUGUAAGGGGCCAGAUAGUAGGCUCUCUAGGCCAUAUGGUGUCUUGUCACAAAUGCUCAACUCUGCCUCUGCAGCUUGAAAGCAGCCACAGAUACGAAUCGGUGUGGCUGUGUUCCAAUAAAACUUUAUUUACAAAAACAGAUGACAAGCUGGAUUUGUUCUACAGGCACCUGAUCUAGAAUGCAGUCCCUAGAGUCAAGCAUCUCACUGACAAAGCCCUUGGAUUGGAGUUUGCAUUCAGUUGGUGAAUUUCAAAUAAUCUUGUAUCUCAUGGAAGUGUUUUUGAGGCUUUUCAUUGAUGUGGCAAUGUGGCUUGAAAGGUACCUGGACAGAAGGGAACUGUGACACCCUGGAGGUAAUGCUGGGCAGGGUCAGGCCUGAACCGACAACACAGGUAAAGCUAUUUCAGUACUCCAGAGGAAAGCCAGCAGGUUCCAAAGCAGUGAAUGCAUCAGCGAGGGGAGGCUCUGGACAUUCCAACUCCAUAGCACCCUGGCCAGCAGACCAUCUGUGAAGGAGCCGGGCCCGAAGGACAGCUAAGGAGCAGAAGCUGUGAGAACACUACCAGCACCACAGAGCCACAGGGGCCAGCCAGUGGCAGGGUCACUCUUGGGAAGAUGGUGCUGGUUAAUAAAAGACACAGAGGCCUUGGUACGGUCUGCCUAGUUUUCAAAACAUGGGGAAGUAGACUAACGUAGACAUUGUAAACUGAUACAGUUGACUGAUCCCUGACAUACACUUUAUUAAAGAUAUUUUGAAAGCACUUAGUAAAGAAAGCAGUUUGUCCAUUUUGCAUUGCUGAGGAAAAGCAGAAGUCCAGCUCCUGCGGCCAAACUGUCUGAACAUCAUCUGAGUAGACCUGGCUUUCUGUGGAAGCAAGUCCCUGGAACUGGGACCCUGGAAGUGAUAAGGGACUGGACAGUAUUUCACAGCCACUGACACGUGCUAGAGAGGUGACAAAACCUUCAUCGGGCAAGAGAGAUCACUCUUGAGUGCUGCAUAAACAAGGGAGUAGAAGAGACAAGCCCAACAUGAAGUAUUUAGCUGAGAUAGCAUGAUAAUCCUUGUUCCAUACCCUGGUGAAUGCUUUCCAAUUUGAGAUAGCACGUCAUGAGGAGAUAAAUAGAGAAUGCUGGAGUGAGCAGACAGGCCAGGCUUAUAGAGAGCUGAAAAUGGAUAGUGAUGAUGCAAAAUUCCAGAUGGACUACCCUCUACUCUAGAGCUUUGCAAACUUCUGCUCAAAGAUGGGUAGGAAGAUUCUGUUGGCUGUGCAGUUAAUCUCACUUUACCUAGUAACACAACUUAGAGCUUUGUGCCGACCUAAUUCUUCAUGGAAGACAACAGGUUCCCAUAGUGCCACCUCAACCAUCUCCCAGCAGAGAUUUAGCAAGACAGAGAGAGCACUCAAGUCAAGCAGGUGAAAGCAUAUAUCUCUUGCAUUUAUUUUUCUUUUUUGGACCACUAGUCUUUGUAAGUUUGUUUGUUUUUUGAGACAGAG
This 1609-nucleotide long non-coding RNA is filed under the name Homo sapiens (human). Its description in RNAcentral is "HSALNT0361510". Lineage: Eukaryota; Metazoa; Chordata; Mammalia; Primates; Hominidae. The record is from RNAcentral.